Molecule: ribosomal RNA, 752 nt
Filed under: Ameloblastella pirarara
Lineage: Eukaryota; Metazoa; Platyhelminthes; Monogenea; Dactylogyridea; Ancylodiscoididae
Description: partial large subunit ribosomal RNA
Rfam family: Eukaryotic large subunit ribosomal RNA
Source: RNAcentral
UGAACGGAGAUUAGCCCAGCACCGAAGUCUAUCUACGCUUGUAGACAGGACAAUGUGGUGUUAAGGCGUAUGCCUGGGGUGACUCGUCUAUUCGAAGUCCUGCUUUGAUUUUGGCACUGUAUUUGCCCCAUAGAGGGUGAAAGGCCCGUACGAAUAGACAUGCUGCAAUCCAGAGUCGCCCUCAGAUACAUACGUCCUUGAGUCGGAUUGCUUGAGAAUGCAGUCCAAAGUGGGUGGUAAACUCCAUCCAAGGCUAAAUACCUGCACGAGUCCGAUAGUAAACAAGUACCGUGAGGGAAAGUUGAAAAGUACUCUGAAGAGAGAGUAAAUAGUACGUGAAGCUGCCUGUCGAGAAGCUGGUGGAGUCAAGCUCCAUGUCUGGAUGAUUAGCAUCGAGUGGCGUGCUGUGUUAUGGCCGUCCUGACGAUUUGCCUGCAAAUGGUACGGGGGUUCUCCUCCUCAAGAUUACUGGUCAGUGAUCUUGUGUCGUCAGAGUUGGUCGGCCGCUCGUGUCCUAUCACCGGACAGCCAUCACGGCUGAUAGUCUCAUGGCGCCUGGUCGCCAAACCAUGCCUUUGUGAGCUGAUACUUGCGAGGUGUGGGAUGGCAGGUGGUUGCUAGGGCAGCAAUGUCUUAGCAGCUUAUAUUGUUAUUCAGCCGACUACCAGGAUCUUUUACUGUUUGGAGCUAUCAGUUAAUGCUCUGCCUUGUCCUCUCCAGGGCAAGGUAGUGAGAGCCGUGGUGUUGGAGUA